This 253-nucleotide ribosomal RNA is filed under the name uncultured bacterium. RNAcentral describes it as "partial 16S ribosomal RNA". It matches the Rfam family "Bacterial small subunit ribosomal RNA", at positions 524 to 776 of the family's 1533-position model. The record is from RNAcentral.
UACAGAGGUCUCAAGCGUUGUUCGGAUUCAUUGGGCGUAAAGGGUGCGUAGGUGGCGUCGUAAGUCGGGUGUGAAAUUUCGGAGCUUAACUCCGAAACUGCAUUCGAUACUGCGGUGCUUGAGGACUGGAGAGGAGACUGGAAUUUACGGUGUAGCAGUGAAAUGCGUAGAGAUCGGAAAGAACACCAACGGCGAAAGCACUCUGCUGGGCCGACACUGACACUGAGAGACGAAAGCUAGGGGAGCAAAUGGG